Molecule: ribosomal RNA, 382 nt
Filed under: uncultured eukaryote
Lineage: Eukaryota
Description: partial 18S ribosomal RNA
Rfam family: Eukaryotic small subunit ribosomal RNA
Source: RNAcentral
UGUAAGCGUAUACCAAAGUUGUUGCAGUUAAAACGCUCGUAGUCGGAUUUUGGCAGUUCCGGAAGUGUGCACGUCGUGUGCGCACUUUGCGGGGACUGCUUUUGUGGUCUUGCGUAGGAUGAGGCACUUUCAUUAGUGAACGUCCUCACGCAACCACUCUUUACUGUGAGAAAAUCAGAGUGCUCAAAGCAGGCAUUUGCCGUGAAUGUAUUAGCAUGGAAUAAUAGAAUAGGACUCGGUUCUAUUUUGUUGGUUUGUUGGGACUGAGUAAUGAUUAAGAGGGACAGUUGGGGGCAUUUGUAUUCCGGCGCUAGAGGUGAAAUUCUUAGAUUGCCGGAAGACAAACUGCUGCGAAAGCGUCUGCCAAGGAUGUUUUCAUUGA